AGCAGUGUGGCGCAGUUCGGUGAGCGCGCUUGGUUCAUACCCAAGAGGACGUCGGUUCAAAUCCGACCACUGCCA
Molecule: transfer RNA, 75 nt
Filed under: Nocardia flavorosea
Lineage: Bacteria; Bacillati; Actinomycetota; Actinomycetes; Mycobacteriales; Nocardiaceae
Description: tRNA-Met
Rfam family: tRNA
About the family: Transfer RNA (tRNA) molecules are approximately 80 nucleotides in length. Their secondary structure includes four short double-helical elements and three loops (D, anti-codon, and T loops). Further hydrogen bonds mediate the characteristic L-shaped molecular structure. tRNAs have two regions of fundamental functional importance: the anti-codon, which is responsible for specific mRNA codon recognition, and the 3' end, to which the tRNAs corresponding amino acid is attached (by aminoacyl-tRNA synthetases). tRNAs cope with the degeneracy of the genetic code in two manners: having more than one tRNA (with a specific anti-codon) for a particular amino acid; and 'wobble' base-pairing, i.e. permitting non-standard base-pairing at the 3rd anti-codon position.
Source: RNAcentral